AUUAAGGCGCUAUAAAAGAGCAAAUCUCUCCGCAAUUUUUAUUCAGGAAUAUGACUAACAUGGCUUCCUGUUCCUUUUUCCAUUCAUUGCUCCUCGUUUUGUGCAUUAUCAUUUCCAUCUUGGCCAUGCACUCAGUUCCAGGAGCUGCAGCUUCGAAAAUGAGGACUGUUUUUCGCGCAACCCUGCCAAGCCCACCUCCUCCUCCGUCUCUGAACAUCGCGCCUAUUCAAUCCAUAUCUCCUCUCGCGCAAGGACUCUGAUUCAACCUAUAAAACAACUCUAUUUUUGAGUUGUUAGAAUGAGUGUGAAGUCUGAAUAUACCUAAAAGUCGGCUAAAAGUUAUAGUCCCAAGGUCAAGUAAUAAAAGAUUUAUUUAUAAUUAUAUUGUACUCAAAACCUACGUAAACAUGUGAUUAUAUCUUUUAAAUCUUGUAACAUUAUAUUAAUAGUAAAACCCAGAAGUACCCUGGGCAUAUGUGUUGUGAACUGAA
This is a long non-coding RNA of Mangifera indica (mango), 491 nucleotides long. RefSeq lists it as uncharacterized. The transcript has 2 exons. The record is from RefSeq and is a predicted model, not a curated record. NCBI's taxonomy places the organism in Eukaryota, Viridiplantae, Streptophyta, Magnoliopsida, Sapindales, Anacardiaceae.